RNAcentral lists this non-coding RNA (28 nucleotides) under Mus musculus (house mouse). The record is from RNAcentral. Lineage: Eukaryota; Metazoa; Chordata; Mammalia; Rodentia; Muridae.
ACCAGCAGAGCGGGGGGUCUUCAGCCCU